RNAcentral lists this ribosomal RNA (506 nucleotides) under uncultured bacterium. RNAcentral's name for it is "partial 16S ribosomal RNA". It matches the Rfam family "Bacterial small subunit ribosomal RNA", at positions 28 to 523 of the family's 1533-position model. The record is from RNAcentral.
GAUGAACGCCAGCUACAGGCUUAACACAUGCAAGUCGAGGGGUAACGAGAGGAAAGCUUGCUUUCCUUGUCGACGACCGGCGCACGGGUGAGUAACGCGUAUCCAACCUGCCCCCAACUAAGGAAUAACCUUGCGAAAGUAAGACUAAUACCUUAUAAUUUCCUCAGAUGUCAUCUGACGAGGAAUAAAGAUUUAUCGGUUGUGGAUGGGGAUGCGUCUGAUUAGCUUGUUGGCGGGGUAACGGCCCACCAAGGCAACGAUCAGUAGGGGUUCUGAGAGGAAGGCCCCCCACAUUGGAACUGAGACACGGUCCAAACUCCUACGGGAGGCAGCAGUGAGGAAUAUUGGUCAAUGGGCGAAAGCCUGAACCAGCCAAGUAGCGUGCAGGAUGACGGCCCUAUGGGUUGUAAACUGCUUUUAUACAGGAAUAAAGUUAGCCACGUGUGGUUAUUCGUAGGUACUGUAUGAAUAAGGACCGGCUAAUUCCGUGCCAGCAGCCGCCGUAA